UACGUAGGGGGCAAGCGUUGUCCGGAAUCAUUGGGCGUAAAGCGCGCGUAGGCGGCCCUGUAAGUCCGUUGUGAAAGUCAAAGGCUCAACCUUUGAAAGCCGAUGGAUACUGCAGGGCUAGAGUCCGGAAGAGGCGAGUGGAAUUCCUGGUGUAGCGGUGAAAUGCGUAGAUAUCAGGAGGAACACCGGUGGCGAAGGCGGCCCUCUGGACGGUGACUGACGCUGAGACGCGAAAGCGUGGGGAGCAAACAGG
This 253-nucleotide ribosomal RNA is filed under the name uncultured bacterium. RNAcentral describes it as "partial 16S ribosomal RNA". It matches the Rfam family "Bacterial small subunit ribosomal RNA", at positions 524 to 776 of the family's 1533-position model. The record is from RNAcentral.